UUGGUCACAAGUUCAAACUGAUAGAGGCCAAAAGGAGAAUUACUUUUGCAAUUUUUGAUUCUGUGAAAUUACCAAAAUGCCCUUCUUCAAAUCUGAUAUAUUCCUCUUCUUUCUUUCUCUUUAUCAGAUCCGUGUGUGCUGGUCGGUGGAGAGAGAGCUUGAGGAUUUUCUAGAAUAUUCGAACCCUCAUCCGGACUUCUAUCCUCCGCCAUCAGCUCUGUCACUCUACUGGUCGCCGGUGACUCCAUAAACGCCGGAGUCUUCACCGUGGGAAAGGAUAAAUGGGCUGUCUGUAGCUUGUGGUUAUGAGCUCGCCGGCGUGCUUGCCGUUGCUGUUGUCUCAUCCGUCCUUGAUCAACAAAAACGUGACGUCUUCCUCCUCCUCUGUUCCAGAUCGAUUUUUUUUCCUUUUCUUCAUCAUUGGCGUGGCUGUGCAGCGAUCUUCCUCUCUUUCACUGUGCAGACGAACAUUCUCUUCCCCCUCUUGGUUUGCGUGUUGUUAGUUUAUCCAAGGGUGUGUGGAAGAACAGGACCUUGAAAAAGAAUUAAAGGAAGAAUAUCUUUGGGAAUUUGGAACUCCGACGAAUUUGUUAGCUGACGCUGAUCCUACCAUCGACCUCUAAAGGGCAACUAGCUACAGUGGGUGAACCUUUUUGAUUGGUAUUAUUGCUUUAAUGUAAAUAUAGAAAUUGUAUGUCUUUUGAUUUGAAAGAAAGAGUAGAUGCUCCACAUAGGUUAUUGAUAAACCUUAUUUUUGGUCUGUAUAUUGGUUGCUGGCUGGAAGGAGCUACGCUCCUGAUUUAUACUAUUAUCUGUAAAAUUUUUAUUAUAGAAUUUUCGGGAGAUCCUAGUUACAGGGGAGGUUCUGCUGAAAUUUCUACUAAAAAAAAAAGUCGACACUUUCUUAUGAUAAUGAGUUUAAAGGAGUUAUUUU
Long non-coding RNA from Prosopis cineraria, 934 nucleotides. RefSeq lists it as uncharacterized. The transcript has 5 exons. The record is from RefSeq and is a predicted model, not a curated record. NCBI's taxonomy places the organism in Eukaryota, Viridiplantae, Streptophyta, Magnoliopsida, Fabales, Fabaceae.